GAUGAACGCUGGCGGCGUACCUAAUACAUGCAAGUCGAGCGAACAGAUGAGGAGCUUGCUCCUCUGACGUUAGCGGCGGACGGGUGAGUAACACGUGGAUAACCUACCUAUAAGACUGGGAUAACUUCGGGAAACCGGAGCUAAUACCGGAUAAUAUAUUGAACCGCAUGGUUCAAUAGUGAAAGACGGUUUUGCUGUCACUUAUAGAUGGAUCCGCGCCGCAUUAGCUAGUUGGUAAGGUAACGGCUUACCAAGGCAACGAUGCGUAGCCGAUCUGAGAGGGUGAUCGGCCACACUGGAACUGAGACACGGUCCAGACUCCUACGGGAGGCAGCAGUAGGGAAUCUUCCGCAAUGGGCGAAAGCCUGACGGAGCAACGCCGCGUGAGUGAUGAAGGUCUUCGGAUCGUAAAACUCUGUUAUUAGGGAAGAACAAAUGUGUAAGUAACUAUGCACGUCUUGACGGUACCUAAUCAGAAAGCCACGGCUAACUACGUG
Molecule: ribosomal RNA, 497 nt
Filed under: uncultured bacterium
Lineage: Bacteria
Description: partial 16S ribosomal RNA
Rfam family: Bacterial small subunit ribosomal RNA
Source: RNAcentral